UUACCUUUAGAUGUAGCCUAGGCUACAUACAUAUUAAUAUAAAAUAUUAAUUAAUUGCUUAACUGACUACUGUGCUAGCGUAAAGUAGCCUUAUGUUACAAUGUAUAUUAAGUAGGCUAAAUUCUCAAUAUUAUACAAUUAUUAUAAUUUUUCUAUGGGUUAUUGUUUGUUUUUUAAAGUUAGGCUAUAUAUAAUUUCUAAGUGUAUGAAGGCUAAUUUACACAGCACAUAUUUAUAACUGAACACACACACACACAGUGAACAAAGUGAACUUUAUUCACUUUCACAUAGCCUAAUAAUGUUUUUGUAAUUUGGUGUUUAGUUGGUUGUAGUUUGUUUAUACUGUUCUGUCUCUGUUUUGUUUCCAGGAACAUCAUAUUGGCAGCUGCAGGCUGAUGAGUUCUAUAAUAAAAUGACUUCAUUAUAUUUAAAAUAUGUUUUGAUAUUCAUUUUAUUUGUAUUAUUAAUAUUUUAUUUACCCAUAAACAUGUCUUUAGGAAUCCAUAAGUUAUAGAGACAAGAAUAACUUUGUGAAGCCUUUGGGGGCAGUUUCCCAGACAGGGUUUAAAUUAAGACAGGAGUAGGCCUUAAUCUAAGAGCCAUGAUGGUUUUAGCUGUUGACUUUUGUAUCAGAGGACAACUUAAAAGGGCAUGACAAAUCAUGACAUAAGGCUGACAUCACACACAAAACGUACCAAUGUUCCCUCGAUGUUUGUAUACGUGCAUACCAGCAUACCAUUACGACAUCCUUCAUGAAUAAACAUGACAUCUGAUGUUUGUACAACCAGGCCAUACCAGAGCCACAGAGAGAGAGAGUUGCGACAACUCCAUAGACUCCAAUGGAACGGUUUUUUACAGCAAUGGCGGCUCGUGGAGCCUCUCAAUAGUUCCCGGAAGUAGCAGCCGCGCCGUAGAGUUACAGCAGAACAGACCGUUUGUGAUGUACUUUUAAAAGUACAAGCACAAAGGGGAUUCAGAUCCUGAAGACUCCAUGCAAUGAUGCUGUCACCGCCAGUCUCUGCUCCUUGGAUUUUGCAAGCUUUUCCUUGCUCCUUAUUUUUAAUAAACCUUUAAUAAACAUAAAA
This is a long non-coding RNA of Megalobrama amblycephala (Wuchang bream), 1085 nucleotides long. RefSeq lists it as uncharacterized. The record is from RefSeq and is a predicted model, not a curated record. Lineage: Eukaryota; Metazoa; Chordata; Actinopteri; Cypriniformes; Xenocyprididae. The transcript has 2 exons.